Molecule: non-coding RNA, 971 nt
Filed under: Noctilio leporinus (greater bulldog bat)
Lineage: Eukaryota; Metazoa; Chordata; Mammalia; Chiroptera; Noctilionidae
Description: 12S ribosomal RNA
Rfam family: Bacterial small subunit ribosomal RNA
Source: RNAcentral
ACACAGGUUUGGUCCCAGCCUUUCUAUUAGUUGUUAGUAAGAUUACACAUGCAAGUAUCCGCACCCCAGUGAAAAUGCCCUUUAAAUCAUACCCAUGACAAGAAGGAGCAGGUAUCAAGCACGCACUAACGUAGCUCACAACGCCUUGCUUAGCCACACCCCCACGGGAAACAGCAGUGAUAAAAAUUAGGCCAUAAACGAAAGUUUGACCAAAUUAUACUUACUUAGGGUUGGUAAAUUUCGUGCCAGCCACCGCGGUCAUACGAUUAACCCAAAUUAAUAGAUUAACGGCGUAAAGCGUGUUUAAGAGAGACUAUAAAAUAAAGCCAAACUUUAGCUAAUCUGUAAAAAGUCUUAGCUAAUGUAAGAACCAUAACGAAAGUAGCUUUAACAUGCUGAACACACGAUAGCUAAGACUCAAACUGGGAUUAGAUACCCCACUAUGCUUAGCCAUAAACCUAAAAAAUUUAUAAAACAAACAAAAUUAUUCGCCAGAGUACUACUAGCUAAAGCCUGAAACUCAAAGGACUUGGCGGUGCUUUAUAUCCCUCUAGAGGAGCCUGUUCUGUAAUCGAUAAACCCCGAUAAACCUCACCAACACUUGCCAACUCAGCCUAUAUACCGCCAUCUUCAGCAAACCCUAAAAAGGUAUAAAAGUAAGCACAAUUAUAUUAAUAUAAAAACGUUAGGUCAAGGUGUAGCUAAUGUGUUGGGAAGUAAUGGGCUACAUUGCCUUAAUAAAGGCUAAAUAUUUAUACGAAAAUCUUUGUGAAAUCAAGGAUUAAAGGUGGAUUUAGCAGUAAACUAAAAAUAGAGUGUUUAGUUGAAAGAGGCCAUGAAGCACGCACACACCGCCCGUCACCCUCCUCAAAUAACCACAGACAACAAUUAAUUUUAUUUACCCUGUCAAAUUUACUAGAGGAGACAAGUCGUAACAAGGUAAGCGUACUGGAAAGUGCGCUUGGAAAAUU